Pelobates cultripes (western spadefoot toad) is the source of this 884-nucleotide non-coding RNA. Lineage: Eukaryota; Metazoa; Chordata; Amphibia; Anura; Pelobatidae. The record is from the annotation of a GenBank genome assembly.
AUUGUAAUCUUGUUUCAGAAUUGCAUCACAAGAAAAUAACAUUUAUAAAAAUAAGGUAAUACUUAAUUAACAAUAUAGUCCAUAGACUUCAAUAUAGAAUUUGACAGAGCAGGUGAGGUGAUUCCUGUUGUAGGGAGUAAUACAGUUCUUUAAAAAAAAAAAAGUUGGAAAUAAGGCAGAUCCUGGUUGAGUAGUGGUAAUAGUCCUCUAGACUUCAAUAAAAAUGAAUAACACAAAUAAUGAAUGAGUAAUUGGCUUAUGGGACUUUCAAUUAGAAUAUGCAAAUGAAAUCCCAAAGGACAGAUUUAUUAUUCCCUUAUCCAUCCGAAAUAACAUCAGGUAAAAUCCAAUUGUUAAUCCCAAUAACUGAAGAAUUUAUCUUACAUUAGCUAAUGAGCAUGAGAGUCCUUCCAGGAUAGUGUAGAUUAUGGUUCCUUGUGGUAUGUGGAGAAAGGCAGGAAUCCAAGGUAAAGUCUGUUCCAAGUCAGGGAGUGAAGAGUAGAGAGAGCGCAGUCAGGAUCAAGCCAGAGAGACUCCGUACACAGGAAAUCAAUUAGAAAGCUCCGUCGGUAUAUUGGCAACGAAGUAGCAAGUAUGCGAGAGCACAUCAAAAACAAACACAACAAAAAUGUAUUAAGCCAUUUGGAUGCGGUCGCGGCUUCCUUUUGAAGGGAAGCGUGUGACAUCAGACGCAUGGGCGGAGACUGAUCAGCGAAACCUGGAAGUCAUACGAGUAAUGACAAUCAAACUGAAAUCAAUGUGGAGGAAUUCCGAGACAAUAUGGAGGAAUCCUGACACUACUGCUGUUCUUCCAUGUUUAAUUUUUAUUGGUAUAAUUUUUUAAUAUGUGUGUGCAAGUCUACAGUGACAAUUGCAGUUUGAAU